CAGAGUUCUUGAAAAAGACUCCCAAACCAUUGUGAACAUACCCGUCCAACGUUGCUUCGGCGGGCGUCCCCCCGGGGGUGCCCGCCGGUGGCCUACGAAACUCUUGUAUUCUAGUGGCCUCUCUGAGAAAACAAGCAAAUAAGUUA
Molecule: unclassified non-coding RNA, 146 nt
Filed under: uncultured Ascomycota
Lineage: Eukaryota; Fungi; Ascomycota
Description: sequence contains ITS1
Source: RNAcentral